GGAGAUCUGGUCUAGUGGUAGGGCACAGGCACCUCUGAUGUCCUGGAUGUCAGUUCGAGUCUGACGGUUUCCA
Molecule: transfer RNA, 73 nt
Filed under: Pseudocercospora pini-densiflorae CBS 125139
Lineage: Eukaryota; Fungi; Ascomycota; Dothideomycetes; Mycosphaerellales; Mycosphaerellaceae
Description: tRNA-Arg (TCT) (tRNA-Arg-TCT-4-1)
Rfam family: tRNA
About the family: Transfer RNA (tRNA) molecules are approximately 80 nucleotides in length. Their secondary structure includes four short double-helical elements and three loops (D, anti-codon, and T loops).
Source: RNAcentral